RNAcentral lists this ribosomal RNA (118 nucleotides) under Sundstroemia setigera. RNAcentral describes it as "Rhizosolenia setigera partial 5.8S ribosomal RNA". It matches the Rfam family "5.8S ribosomal RNA", at positions 1 to 116 of the family's 154-position model. From Rfam's summary of the family: 5.8S ribosomal RNA (5.8S rRNA) is a component of the large subunit of the eukaryotic ribosome. The record is from RNAcentral. Lineage: Eukaryota; Bacillariophyta; Coscinodiscophyceae; Rhizosoleniales; Rhizosoleniaceae.
ACAACUUUCAGCAAUGGAUGUCUUGGCUCCCACAACGAUGAUGAACGCAGCGAAAUGCGAUACGUCUUGCGAAUUGCAUAUCUUCGUGAAUCAUUAAAAUUUUGAACGCACAUUGCGC